This is a long non-coding RNA of Oncorhynchus tshawytscha (Chinook salmon), 504 nucleotides long. Lineage: Eukaryota; Metazoa; Chordata; Actinopteri; Salmoniformes; Salmonidae. The record is from Ensembl.
GUCUCAUUCCCUCUUUCUCUCAUUCCCUCUCUCUCUCUCAGGUCUCAUUCCCUCUCUCUCUCUCAGGUCUCCUUCCCUCUCUCUCUCAGGUCUCAUUCCCUCUUUCUCUCAUUCCCUCUCUCUCUCUCAGGUCUCAUUCCCUCUCUCUCUCUCAGGUCUCAUUCCCUCUCUCUCUCAGGUCUCAUUCCCUCUCUCUCUCAGGUCUCAUUCCCUCUUUCUCUCAUUCCCUCUCUCUCUCUCAGGUCUCAUUCGCUCUUUCUCUCAUUCCCUCUCUCUCUCAGGUCUCAUUCCCUCUUUCUCUCAUUCCCUCUCUCUCUCUCAGGACUCAUUCUCUCUCUCUCUCAGGUCUCAUUCUCUCUCUCUCUCAGGUUUCAUUCCCUCUUUCUCUCAUUCCCUCUCUCUCUCUCAGGUCUCAUUCUCUCUCUCUCUCAGGUCUCAUUCCCCCUCUCUCUCUCUCUCUCUCAGGUCUCAUUCCCUCUCUCUCUCUCUCUCUCUCUCUCUCUC